RNAcentral lists this ribosomal RNA (492 nucleotides) under uncultured bacterium. RNAcentral's name for it is "partial 16S ribosomal RNA". It matches the Rfam family "Bacterial small subunit ribosomal RNA", at positions 29 to 507 of the family's 1533-position model. The record is from RNAcentral.
AGUGAACGCUGGCGGUAGGCCUAACACAUGCAAGUCGAACGGCAGCACAGUAAGAGCUUGCUCUUACGGGUGGCGAGUGGCGGACGGGUGAGGAAUACAUCGGAAUCUACUUUUUCGUGGGGGAUAACGUAGGGAAACUUACGCUAAUACCGCAUACGACCUACGGGUGAAAGCAGGGGAUCUUCUGACCUUGCGCGAUUGAAUGAGCCGAUGUCGGAUUAGCUAGUUGGCGGGGUAAAGGCCCACCAAGGCGACGAUCCGUAGCUGGUCUGAGAGGAUGAUCAGCCACACUGGAACUGAGACACGGUCCAGACUCCUACGGGAGGCAGCAGUGGGGAAUAUUGGACAAUGGGCGCAAGCCUGAUCCAGCCAUACCGCGUGGGUGAAGAAGGCCUUCGGGUUGUAAAGCCCUUUUGUUGGGAAAGAAAAGCAGCAGGUUAAUACCACGCUGUUCUGACGGUACCCAAAGAAUAAGCACCGGCUAACUUCGUG